This 245-nucleotide ribosomal RNA is filed under the name uncultured Eubacteriales bacterium. RNAcentral describes it as "uncultured Clostridiales bacterium partial 16S ribosomal RNA". It matches the Rfam family "Bacterial small subunit ribosomal RNA", at positions 524 to 769 of the family's 1533-position model. The record is from RNAcentral. Lineage: Bacteria; Bacillati; Bacillota; Clostridia; Eubacteriales.
UACGUAGGGAGCAAGCGUUAUCCGGAUUUAUUGGGCGUAAAGAGUUUGUAGGCGGUUUGUUAAGUCUAAGAUUAAAGCCCGAGGCUUAACCUCGGUUCGUUUUAGAUACUGGCAGACUUGAGUGUGGUAGAGGCAAGUGGAAUUCCUAGUGUAGCGGUGGAAUGCGUAGAUAUUAGGAGGAACACCAGUGGCGAAGGCGGCUUGCUGGGCCAUUACUGACGCUGAGAAACGAAAGCGUGGGGAGC